AGUGAACGCUGGCGGUAGGCCUAACACAUGCAAGUCGAACGGCAGCACAGUAAGAGCUUGCUCUUACGGGUGGCGAGUGGCGGACGGGUGAGGAAUACAUCGGAAUCUACUUUUUCGUGGGGGAUAACGUAGGGAAACUUACGCUAAUACCGCAUACGACCUACGGGUGAAAGCAGGGGAUCUUCGGACCUUGCGCGAUUGAAUGAGCCGAUGUCGGAUUAGCUAGUUGGCGGGGUAAAGGCCCACCAAGGCGACGAUCCGUAGCUGGUCUGAGAGGAUGAUCAGCCACACUGGAACUGAGACACGGUCCAGACUCCUACGGGAGGCAGCAGUGGGGAAUAUUGGACAAUGGGCGCAAGCCUGAUCCAGCCAUACCGCGUGGGUGAAGAAGGCCUUCGGGUCGUAAAGCCCUGUUGUUGGGAAAGAAAAGCAGCAGGUUAAUACCCCGCUGUUCUGACGGUACCCAAAGAAUAAGCACCGGCUAACUUCGUG
RNAcentral lists this ribosomal RNA (492 nucleotides) under uncultured bacterium. RNAcentral's name for it is "partial 16S ribosomal RNA". It matches the Rfam family "Bacterial small subunit ribosomal RNA", at positions 29 to 507 of the family's 1533-position model. The record is from RNAcentral.